UUUUCGCACAUGAAAGUAAAGUAAAAAUUGUAUGAACAGAAAUACAGAUAACCAAAAUAUAAGUUUUGAUCUGCAAUGACACGUGGGCCCACAUCUAUCUAAAAUGCAUCGGAAGCUGAAAACCUACAGCUUUUACCAAUUCGGGUCCAAAUGAAGGUCCUUGUCAAAGUCAGCUAACUAUGGAAUUCCCCGAGCCUGAAAUGUGAGGAAAUGAGGGUAGUGAGAUUAUAAAAUCCCAGUGAGUAAACAGAUACCAUCUAAACUAUCUAAAGUCGAGUAAAUGGAGACAAUUAAAAUAAGUCAUCAUACUGUAAUUUCAUUACCUUUCAACUCAUUUCAACCAAAUAAAAUCAAUCCAUAUAAAUCAAGUAAUCAACUUGGCUUAUGAAUUUCUUAAAACUUUGGCUCGUGCCAAAACUCAUACUCGGUGAUACCUUGCGCAAGGCAUCUAACUGAGUCCACCAAGGCUGUUAAAAUUUUGUAUACACUUAAAAUAUAUUUUUGUUUGAAAAAAAUACAGUCGUUCCUUGACGUUGGCUGAGUUCCCCUUCACGUGGUGGUUUGGCGUGAAGUGAACCCUAAGCUUUACCCCAGGAGAUACCCUACGUGCCUCUCCGUUCGAGGUAAUAAUAUAAUGGAGUUUACCGUGCCCCUUUAAUAGGCUGGUCCACGGAACCCCCUCUGCAGUGAAUAAUUAAUAUAUACUCCACCAAUCAAUAAAAUUCAUUCUAGCAUGACAUGGCAAUUUAUCGACACCUAGCCUCUCAAGGCUGAAUACUUAGUACAAAUAAUUCUAACACCAAAAUCAGUUUAGCCAUUCAUGCUCAUUUAUUGUCAUAAGCCAUUCAAUUUAAAACCAUAAAUUUGCAACACAAGCAAGAAGUCUCCAAUUACUCUAUUUCAAAACCAAUAUUCGAUUUUCCAGAAAAUUUAUAAAAUCACAAUUUCUCUUAAAACAUAGCAAUUUACCAUUUUAAACCCAUUUUCCAUAAAAUCACACAAUUGUAUAAAACUACUCUAGAUAAUUAAGACGAUAAUAAGUUUACUCACUGUUCUAGGAGUCGAUGUACUCCUAAUCCCAGUCUCCAAGCACAAUCUCUGUACUUUUACCAGUGUACUUUGCUCACCACCUAUCCAUAAUGUACAAUACAUAAUUCACCACAUCAAUACUUGACCAUUAUAAAAUCAAUUCAGGUUCGGUAUAUAUGCAUGAUAUGAUAUACAACUUAUCCGACUACCGCUUAAAUGCGGUGUUGACCUAAUUCGGCCUAUUAUCUCCAAUUUAACUCCAAAUCAAUUCUUCUCACUUUCUACACUCCAAUUAUACCUAAAUUACCUUAAUGACUGUGAAUGAGAUUCAAUUUAUCAGUCUCGAUAGCAAAUUACGAAAAUACCUCUAGUGGGUAAAAAUCGUAUUUUUGCUCCGAAAAUUUCCAUUAUUUUUCUAGGCUCAUAAUUCAUCAUUUCUUAACCAAUUCUCCUAAAAUGAAAAUCAAAUUUAUCCUCACUCAACACAUGAUAAAUUCGGCCAUUAAUGGUUGUGGGAGAAAAUAAGUUCUUUUCUUCUUGUUUUGUUUCUAAAUAUGCUAAACUAACUUAAAACACUAACAUAACUUAAAAUCAAAUUAAUCUAACAAGUUUCUCUCUCCUAACCCAUUUUUCCAGAAUUGAAUUCAUCAUAAUAACUCAAUAUUCAACCAUGGAAAUCAAGAACAAAAGCAUGGGUAAGCUAGGUAUCAAGGAGAACUAAAGAAAUUCUAACUUACCUAGCUUGUUUCCUUGAUUUCUUCACUUUUUCUUUGAAUUUUCCACCUAGGUUUUCUUGUUUUUUCCUUUGUUCUUCCUCUUUUUCUCUCUCUUCCUUGCUUG
This 1869-nucleotide long non-coding RNA is filed under the name Theobroma cacao (cacao). RNAcentral describes it as "long non-coding RNA (TCAC_LNC000419)". The record is from RNAcentral. Lineage: Eukaryota; Viridiplantae; Streptophyta; Magnoliopsida; Malvales; Malvaceae.